This 252-nucleotide ribosomal RNA is filed under the name uncultured bacterium. Its description in RNAcentral is "partial 16S ribosomal RNA". It matches the Rfam family "Bacterial small subunit ribosomal RNA", at positions 524 to 776 of the family's 1533-position model. The record is from RNAcentral.
UACGUAGGUCCCGAGCGUUGUCCGGAUUUAUUGGGCGUAAAGCGAGCGCAGGUGGUUUAUUAAGUCUGGUGUAAAAGGCAGUGGCUCAACCAUUGUAUGCAUUGGAAACUGGUAGACUUGAGUGCAGGAGAGGAGAGUGGAAUUCCAUGUGUAGCGGUGAAAUGCGUAGAUAUAUGGAGGAACACCGGUGGCGAAAGCGGCUCUCUGGCCUGUAACUGACACUGAGGCUCGAAAGUGCGGGGAUCGAACAGG